Small nucleolar RNA from Ziziphus jujuba (common jujube), 70 nucleotides. RefSeq annotates it as small nucleolar RNA U49. NCBI's taxonomy places the organism in Eukaryota, Viridiplantae, Streptophyta, Magnoliopsida, Rosales, Rhamnaceae. The transcript has a single exon. The record is from RefSeq and is a predicted model, not a curated record.
AUCCAAUGAGGAAGACAUCCCAAAAAAUUGAUAGGAAGUGCCGUAUGACACUUUAAACAGCCAGGGGUUU